RNAcentral lists this ribosomal RNA (433 nucleotides) under uncultured bacterium. RNAcentral describes it as "partial 16S ribosomal RNA". It matches the Rfam family "Bacterial small subunit ribosomal RNA", at positions 29 to 507 of the family's 1533-position model. The record is from RNAcentral.
AACGAACGCUGGCGGCAUGCCUAACACAUGCAAGUCGAACGAGACCUUCGGGUCUAGUGGCGCACGUGUGCGUAACGCGUGGGAACCUGCCCUUAGGUUCGGAAUAACUCCCCGAAAGGGGUGCUAAUACCGGAGAAUGUCUUCGGACCAAAGAUUUAUCGCGUUUGGAUGGGCCCGCGUUGGAUUAGCUAGUUGGUAGGGUAAAAGCCUACCAAGGCGACGAUCCAUAGCUGGUCUGAGAGGAUGAUCAGCUACACUGGGACUGAGACACGGCCCAGACUCCUACGGGAGGGAGCAGUGGGGAAUAUUGGACGAUGGGCGAAAGCCUGAUCCAGCAAUGCCGCGUGAGUGAUGAAGGCCUUAGGGUUGUAAAGCUCUUUUACCCGGGAUGAUAAUGACAGUACCGGGAGAAUAAGCUCCGGCUAACUACGUG